Molecule: ribosomal RNA, 489 nt
Filed under: uncultured bacterium
Lineage: Bacteria
Description: bacterial SSU rRNA
Rfam family: Bacterial small subunit ribosomal RNA
Source: RNAcentral
AACACAUGCAAGUCGAACGCGAAAGGGACUUCGGUCCUGAGUAAAGUGGCGGCACGGGUGAGUAACGCGUAGAUAACCUGUCUUCAUGUCUGGAAUAAUACGCCGAAAGGGGUACUAAUACCGGAUAUUCUUGCUUUUCAUAAGUUAUGCAAGCAAAGGUGGCCUCUGCAUAUGCUACUGCAUGAAGAGGGGUCUGCGUACCAUUAGCUAGUAGGUGGGGUAAUGGCCUACCUAGGCGACGAUGGUUAGCGGGUCUGAGAGGAUGAUCCGCCACACUGGCACUGGAACACGGGCCAGACUCCUACGGGAGGCAGCAGUGAGGAAUAUUGCGCAAUGGGGGAAACCCUGACGCAGCGACGCCGCGUGAGUGAGGAAGGCCUUCGGGUCGUAAAGCUCUGUCAAGAGGAAAGAAGUGUACAAUGGCUAAUACCUGUUGUAUUUGACGGUACCUCUAAAGGAAGCACCGGCUAACUCCGUGCCAGCCGCCGC